Terrapene triunguis (Three-toed box turtle) is the source of this 2800-nucleotide RNA transcript. It is a transcript of the gene named akirin 2, with no coding region annotated. The record is from RefSeq and is a predicted model, not a curated record. The transcript is spliced from 5 exons. NCBI's taxonomy places the organism in Eukaryota, Metazoa, Chordata, Testudines, Emydidae.
ACGCCAUAUUGCUGGUGUGGGAGAGUCACAGAGGGAAGCGCCGCCGCUGCUGCCGCCGCCAUCGCUUUUCAUCGGCGGCCCCUAGCCGGCGAGCCGAGCCCAGCUCCGCACCUACCGUCCCAGCAACCGCCCCGGGAACGGCCGGGGGCGGAAUUCGCGAGGGCGGGGCGGGCGGAGAGCGAAUCCGUCGGCGAAGGAGCCGCCGGGGGGGCCGGAGCCGCUCCCUGGAGAGGGCGAUAGGGAGGAGGCGGAGGCCCUGACGCAGCUCCCCCCCCACCAUCCGCCCCAGACGGUGGGGAAGGCGCCUCUGGGCUGGGCCGGCUGCUGCCGUCUCCCCCUCCCCUCUCACCGAGCCCCCUUACCCCGCUCUCCCCGGCUCGCCGCAGCCCCCGGCCCGCUCCCCCCCGGCCAUGGCUUGCGGCGCCACAUUGAAAAGGACUCUGGAUUUCGACCCUCUGCUGAGCCCGGCCUCCCCGAAGCGGAGGCGAUGUGCGCCAUUGUCAGCCCCGGCCUCCUCGGCCGCCGCCGCCUCGUCCUUCGCCGCCGCCUCGCCGCAGAAAUACCUGCGCAUGGAGCCCUCGCCCUUCGGGGAGGUGUCCUCCCGCCUCACCACAGAACAAAUUCUGUACAACAUAAAACAGGAGUACAAACGCAUGCAGAAGAGGAGACAUUUAGAAAAUAGCUUCCAGCAGACAGAUCCAUGUUGUUCUACUGAUGCACAGCCACAUGCAUUUCUCCUUACUGGACCAGCUUUGCCAGGUACUUCAUCUGCAGCAUCAUCACCAUUGAAAAAAGAACAGCCCCUGUUUACUCUCAGACAAGUUGGAAUGAUCUGUGAACGUUUGCUGAAAGAACGUGAAGAGAAAAUCCGUGAAGAGUAUGAAGAAAUUUUGACCACAAAACUUGCAGGAGGAUGGGACUUUCAUGGGGGGGACCCUCAGACUGGGACUCUUCUGUGGAAACCAAGAACUACUACUACAUUUUUGGUUGAAGAUUGCUUUCUUUAACCUUGCCUCUUCUAAGAACAGUGCAGAGCACUUAAAAGUAAUAACCCAACACACCUCACAUGCGGUUUUCCACAAGGGAGGAAGGGGAAUGGAGAGGAGCUGCAUCUGAUAGAUCUUCUUCUUUAAUUUCCUAAUUCUGAACAUUAAUACCAUGUUGAUGGGUGCAAUAUUAGAAACUGAAGAGAAUAUGAAAAAAUGUGUUCUUAUGUAUGUGAUGUAUAGAGAUUCCUUCUGGAAAGGACUAAUUUUGAGUUCAGAGUGAACUGAAUAUUCUUUAUAGCAUCAUCUUAAUCUUAGUAUUUAGUUUGAGGAGAUUACUCAAUAGCUGAUUUUACUAAACCCCCAGUCACCUGUUCCCUAUUGUGACUAUUUUUGCUGUUGAAAUAAAGCAAAUAUUUUUCACUUAGCUUUUUAUCCCGUAGUUAGCGGUUUCUUGCUUGUUCAACAUUUUGGCAAUCAGUGACAUAAUUGAUUGUAAUAAAUCGCUCUUCUAUACUGCUGUGCUGUCAUUUCCCAGACCUUUAAAUUCUGCCUUUUUGUAACCAUGUUCAGUGGUUAGAGGGCGGGAGUUGGGUUCUACUUCCAGCCCUGCCACUCACUGACUUUGCUCAGUUAACCACUCUGGGCCUUCAUUAUGCAUCUGUAAAAUUGGGAUAAUGUGAGAAUUUAAGUGCGUUUAAAGUGCUUUGAGAUCCUCUCUCUCUAAGUGCAGAAUAUUCCUUUGCCAAAUUCCUCUGUUUUAUUCUGUGCUGUAGUUCGCUUGUCAAGGGAAAUCCAAUUGAUUGCUAACAUGGUUUAAUGGGGUGGAUUUUUUUUAGGGAGCAGAGAUGAGAUGGCUGUGUUGAAUAAUCCAUACUUGCCCCUUACAGACUGUCAACAUUUGUUUAAUUGAUAUAGCUUGCAUGGCAUAAGAAGUAAGCCUUGACCUUUUUUUCAUGCUAAGUUAAACUUGGUACACUCACUUCUAAUGUUAAUGUUUGCAGAACAAUACGACGCAUUUGUGAAGUUCACGCAUGAUCAGAUCAUGCGACGAUAUGGAGAACAGCCUGCUAGUUAUGUUUCAUGAAUCAUGUUUUCUGCAUAUGUGGGCUGCCCUAUACACCCUACUUGUUGCAAGCUGUCCCAGUAAAAGACUUGCAGCAAUGCCAUAUUUCCCCCCUUCCCCCACCCUCCCUACCCCCGUGAACACAGGUUAUUUCAAGCUUUUGUCAGUGGCAACCACUCUUAUGCAGCAACUGGUUUUGGAGUGCUCCCUGAUGUCAGUACCACCUGGAUGUGGACCUUUGCUACCUGUAAUAAUACCAGUGGCCUCAUUUGCUGUAUCAUUACAAUUUGGCUUCUUAUGUUAAUAAGUUUGAAAAAGUAAAGGAUUAAAGCUGGUGUUCUAGAACUUGCCCUUCACUGGUUGUGUAAAUAAAAAUGUAGAAUGACACUUCUGACUGAAGUUAGUGUGGUUUUCAUAACUGUGCACUACAACAAAACUGUAAUCACAGUUAAAUUAGAAUGUAACCCCAGGACAAUUUUAAGCAACUAGCCCACAGUACUGCCUGUGAAAUAGUAAAGGAGGGCAUUUCUGUAUUCCAUGACUUUUUUGGGGGUUAAGAAUGGGUUUAUAUGAUUUCUCAUUUUUGUAGUUUUUAUUUAUUCUAUCAGUCUUUAACAAAUGUUUAUUGCUGCAAUUUUUCAGUGUAUCAUUGUUUUACUGCCCUUGUAGUACUGGAAUUUAGUUGGAAGAAUAAAACAUUUACUUCUAAUCUGUUCGUUUUUAAUAUGCAGGUGGCACUGCUGCUGUG